RNAcentral lists this ribosomal RNA (253 nucleotides) under uncultured bacterium. RNAcentral describes it as "partial 16S ribosomal RNA". It matches the Rfam family "Bacterial small subunit ribosomal RNA", at positions 524 to 776 of the family's 1533-position model. The record is from RNAcentral.
UACGAAGGGUGCAAACGUUGCUCGGAAUCAUUGGGCGUAAAGCGCACGUAGGCGGCCUCGCAAGUCGGAUGUGAAAUCCCUCGGCUCAACCGAGGACGUGCAUCCGAAACUGCGGGGCUUGAGUACUGAAGAGGAUCGCGGAAUUCCCGGUGUAGAGGUGAAAUUCGUAGAUAUCGGGAGGAACACCGGUGGCGAAGGCGGCGAGCUGGGCAGAUACUGACGCUGAGGUGCGAAAGCGUGGGGAGCGAACAGG